RNAcentral lists this long non-coding RNA (2261 nucleotides) under Homo sapiens (human). RNAcentral describes it as "HSALNT0070793". The record is from RNAcentral. Lineage: Eukaryota; Metazoa; Chordata; Mammalia; Primates; Hominidae.
AUGGAUCUAUUUUAAUAUUUUACUUGAUUUUCAAGAUAUCACUAUGAAGAGCCUGUGAUUUUAUAUGAUUUUUGGAUCACAUGCAGAACCAUCUGAAGAGUCCCAGUUUGUUUCUGUUGACUGGACAAGAAGCAAUGAAGCCUGUGCAAUAGAGAAAAAAAUGGAGAUUGGCAUAUAAACACAUAUCAGCAUUUAUCAAGGCCGGUGGAGAAGAGAUAUCUUCUGAUCUAUAAAGCCUAGCCCUGUAUUUGUGAAUGAGUUAGUUACAUGGCUUUUGGUGAAGCAGGAUAUUUCCCUGACCCCUUUGUGGGAUUCGUGACCAGAGUGUGUUUACUCAGCCCGUCACUCUCAACUCCUCACGGGAGGGAGUGCAUAAGCAAGUAAGAUGGGAACUGGAGUGCACGAGCAUUGGAACUGAACAGCUGCUUCAGCACUGGCAGGAGCAAACUUCCCGCAGCAGCAUCCAGGCUUCCUAUCACUUUGUUACAUGAAGAGGCAUCUUCAAAGAGCAAACUGAUACAACUUUAAAUUGAAAAGGAUAAAGUUUGAAAUGAAAUAUUUGUCCAAAGAUUUGUUGUGUUUUGCAAGGUAAAACAGCUCAAUUCUAUCCUGACCUUUGGUUGCAUUUCUAGAUAAUUUUAUAGGCACCUUCAAAUUCAGAUAUCCUAAGAUUUAAAUAAUGCUAGAUUUAUAGCUCUUAUAUGACAAUUUUUACCAAAAAAAGCUCUUUAAAAUUACUUAAAUUUACAUUAAAAGCUGAUAUUCUGAAAUUUUAUUCCAACUAGACUGCAUUAGUCAGGGUUCUUUAGAGAAAGAACCAAUAUAAACAGAUAGAAAGAAGGUAGAUAGAUAGAUACAGGUAGAUGAUAGAUAGAUGAUAGAUAGAUAGAUAGAUAGAUAGAUAGAUAGAUAGAUAAAGAGGGAAUUUAUUAGGGGAAUUGCCUCACAGGAUUAUGGAAACUGACAGACCACACAAUAGGUCAUCUGCAAGCUGGAAAACCGGGGAAGCUGGUAGUGUGGCCAUUUUCUGUGGGGCAGGGGAAAUAAAUUAAUUAACCAGCAAUUUAAAUUAUCUUCUCCCUGUAGUCUAUGCUCCUGAUAAUUAACAGGUGACAUCUUAUGGGAUAAAUAAUAUUGUUUACUGAUAUCCAAUCUCCCAUUAAAAUAUUCACAAUUGAUAUAGUAAAAUAAUCAGUAAAAUCAUUUAUUUCCCAUUUAAAAUAGUUAAAAUAAGUAGUACUUGAUAUCUUUUAAAACUGCACUGGAUAAAUUAUAUUUCAUUCCAAUCCCAAAGCAUUGGCAAAAUUUUCUGGCAGCAUUAUUUUGAGAAGACCAUGAAACUUUUCUUCACUCAAUAUAACAGAACAACAUGAUAGAAGUGAUUGCUAUCUUUCCAAAAUAAAAGAAAAAAAUGAAAUCAAUUCAACUAUCAGGAGUUCAUGGUUAAAAAAUGAAACUAAAAUAUCACUACAAAUGGCAGCCUAUCCUUUGAUUAUAUGUUAUUUGCCCAAUUGCUUGUAUAUUAAAACUUGCCACAUAAGAAAUUGAUAAUAAUUAAGUGUUUUCUGUAAAGCUGCAAUCUAUAGUAGCAUAUUCUUAAAUAUUGGUUUUAUGCUAUACUAUGAGUUCUGCAAGGAGUGAGAUAAAAACAUGUCACUGAAACACUAGGGAUUUGGUCUAGGUCCUGUUGCUCACAGCAAAGAAUGCCAGUUGCUGAGAUGGACUUUGCCAAGGAAGAAGGAUUUAUUCGGGUGCUGCAGCUGAGGAGAUGAGAUCAGUCUCAAAUCUAUCUCUCUGAUUAACUAAAAUUAGAGAUUUAUAUAGCAGGGAAGAAAUGUAACUAUGUGUGGAAUAACAGGAACUCAGAAAGGGUAUGGAAGCAAUCAUGAUGAAUGAGGGGCCUGCCAUCUUAUUGUCUGGAUAUGGUUUUAGUUCUCUGAUACUUUUAAAGAGGCCUGGGGGUCCAUUCCUGAGAAAUAAACUCAGAUAAAACAAAUGUAAGUUUCAGGGUCAAUUUCUUUUCUUCUCUCUUUUUUUUUUUUUAGAUUGGGUCUCCUUCUGUCACCCAGGCUGUAGUGCUGUGGUUCGAUCUUAGCUCACUGCAACCUCUGCCUCUCAGGCUGAAGCCAUCCUCCCACCUGGGCCUCCCCAAUAGCUGGGACUUACAGGUACAUGCCAGACACCAAGUUAAUUUUUUUUUUUUUGUAUUUUUUGUAGAGAUGAAGUUUUGCUAUGUUGCUCAGGCUGGUCUCCAACUUCUG